AACGAACGCUGGCGGCAGGCCUAACACAUGCAAGUCGAGCGAGGUAGCAAUACCUAGCGGCGGACGGGUGAGUAACGCGUGGGAACGUACCCUUUGCUACGGAAUAGCCCCGGGAAACUGGGAGUAAUACCGUAUGUGCCCUUCGGGGGAAAGAUUUAUCGGCAAAGGAUCGGCCCGCGUUGGAUUAGGUAGUUGGUGGGGUAAUGGCCUACCAAGCCGACGAUCCAUAGCUGGUUUGAGAGGAUGAUCAGCCACACUGGGACUGAGACACGGCCCAGACUCCUACGGGAGGCAGCAGUGGGGAAUCUUAGACAAUGGGCGCAAGCCUGAUCUAGCCAUGCCGCGUGAGUGAUGAAGGCCUUAGGGUUGUAAAACACUUUCAGUGGGGAAGAACAGAUUCGGGUCAAUACCCCGGAGCCCUGACGUUACCCACAGAAGAAGCACCGGCUAACUCCGUG
RNAcentral lists this ribosomal RNA (458 nucleotides) under uncultured bacterium. RNAcentral describes it as "bacterial SSU rRNA". It matches the Rfam family "Bacterial small subunit ribosomal RNA", at positions 29 to 507 of the family's 1533-position model. The record is from RNAcentral.